Molecule: long non-coding RNA, 908 nt
Organism: Rhinolophus ferrumequinum (greater horseshoe bat)
Lineage: Eukaryota; Metazoa; Chordata; Mammalia; Chiroptera; Rhinolophidae
Exons: 5
Source: RefSeq, a predicted model, not a curated record
CAUAAAGAGUAGAAAAUGAAGGCACAGCUGAGGCAGGGGUCUCUGCUGUGUGUGAAGUGGGGUGGAGUCAAGUCUGGCCAGAGGCAACACCUCAUUUUGGCGGACAUGUGUGGUCAGGGUCACCAAAGGGUCACUCUGCCACCCACUGAACAUGGUCCCUCCAGACCACCGGGUACAACCAAGCUUAUCAUUUCCUGCCCAACCAGCACCUCCUCCUGAGGCGAUGUCAGUGAACUCACAUGGGCACUUUCUAUUGUUAAUAUAGGAACCACAGCACCCCAGAAUUUGGAGUUAAUGGGCUUUAGGGCCAAAAUCUCAAGGAAUCUCAGGGUUGGAAGAAAAACCAGCCUCCUGACCCUCGAGUGUCUUUCAAGAACCUGUGCAUCCCUGCUUCAGGUUUACGGAGAUGACCACCUAAGUCCUGUCCAGGCUCGUGCUGCUUCAGAAAAUCCACAUUUCCGUCUUUUUUAAGGAGAGAGGGUGUGAAAAUUGGCUACAGAUCUUCUUAAAAGGAGUCUCCUUCCGAGUUUAGCAAGGGCAGCUUUGAAGAAAGGAGGGAAUGAAGAAGGAAUGGCGAAAAAUCAGACCUAGCUUCUCCUAAACCUAAAUGUUUCUAGGAGGAACCUUUUGGAAACAACCCCCAAGGAGAGCGUGGUUUGCCUGGACUGGGAGAGAGCCUGGAAGAUCCUUAUCUGAGGAAGGUACCAGUUUUUUUAAAUGUAUGUGGCCUCCAGAUUCAACUUAUUUAAUGUUAUAUAUUAUGUCGUCUUCUUCAAGAAUUAUUUUUAACAUCAUACUGUUUCAUCAACAUGGAAACAAGGUAACCCAUUUUGUUCCUGGCUGGGUCCAUACAGAAUUAUUUAUUCUUGAAACUUUAAAAGGCUAUUUGAUAUGUUUAGGUGUGGGUC